UUUUCCUAAAAUUCUACAAUACACCUUACUGCUUCUCUAAAAAUAAAAGGUUUUUUAAAAGUGUAUUGUCAGAGCGCCUAGCUGGCUCAGUUGGUAGAGGGUAUAACUCUUGAUCUCUGGGUGGUAAGUUUGAGGCCCAUAUUGGACAUGAUUACUUUUUUUUUUUUUUUUAAGAUUUUACUUAUUUGAGAGAGAGUAUAAGCAGGGAGAGUAGCAGAGGGAGGGAGAAACAGUCUCCUCUCUCAGCAGGGAGCCUGACCAGUGGUGAUCCUGGGAUCAUGACCUGAACAGAAGGCAUACACCAAACAGACUGAGCCACCCAGGUACCCUGGGCACUACUAUAAAAAAAAAUGAAUUAUCUAUGCAUAAUGCACAUAUAGGUGACAAUAUUAUAUACAUUCAGAAAUUGAUUUUUUGCUACAAUUUAAAAGGAAAAAAAAAAUGAACUGUCUUAGCACUGAAAUCUGUCACUUCCUGCCUAAAUGACCCAGAAAACCCACAACUUUUAAAAUAAACUUUAUUUGGAGACAUUCCUGGAUGGGUGGCUCAAUUAAUCACUUCUUGAUUUUGGCCCAGGUCCUGAUCGAGGUCAUGGGAUCAAGCCCCAAAGCCCCACAUCAGGUUCUGCAAUCAGCAGGCAAUCUGCCAGAGAUACUCUCCCUUUCGCUCUACCCCUCCCCCAUUUGCACACGAGUGUGCGCAUGCAUACUCCUAAACAAAUCUUUUAUAAAAUGUAGCAGGAAAAAUAAUGAACUUCACCUGGGGCACCUGGCUUGCUCAGUCAGUAGAGUAUGUGACUCCUGAUCUCAGGGUUUUUAGUUCAAGCCCCAGGUUGGGUAUAGAGAAUAUUUAAAAAUUUAAAAAAACAAAAAAACUUUACUCCUAGAAUGUAAGGUUCUUCAUGAUGUGGUUGAUCUCUUCAAAUAUACUCCCUUGCUAGUGAACCUGAUGCUUAAGCAUGCUCUAUAUUUUCUGACUUCUGUGCCUUUUGCUCAAAUUGCUCUCCCCUACUUCUCAUGUCAUCUCCCACCUUCCUUUAAUGCCCAGCUCAGACUACCUCCAGAGCCUUUGAUUCUUGUCUUGAUAUGGAGUCCCCUUCCUUGGCAUCCCCAUAAUUUGUACCUUGUUGACAGCACCAUUUCCCUGAUAGUAUGGCUAUCAGGCUCCUCAAAAAGAAGUUGAAGUUCUAUGAGGUCAAAUCCACAUUCCCAAUCUAGUGCUUUUUCAGUAUUCCCUCUACUCCAUAUAUACGGUUGAGAAAAACAAAGUAAUCCUGUUAUUCUACCUCUUCUGUUAUUCUUCUGUUCCGAAGAUUUUAUUUAUCCCAAACCUGUCUAGAGGGUUUAGUCCAAAACUCACCACUUGCUGGCCAGAAGUGAAACUGAAGGUGUUUUCCCUCUUCCGACCUAUCUGCCCCCGUCCCACUAAAUAGUCUCAAAGACACUGCAAUUCUUUUUUUCAUUUUUUUAAAGUAGGCUCCAUGGCCAUUGUGGGAUUAGAACUCACAACCCUGAGACCAAGAGUUGCAUGCUCGAACCGAACCAGUCAGGUACCCCAAACACAAUGCAAUUCUAAAUUUCUACUUGACACAGGAACAUUUCACAAGUCUAUGUAUAUCUGGGUAGUUUUAUGAAAAAUCCAAGUUCUAUUUAAGUCUUUUUAAGCCCUCCAUGGACAACAGAAACAAACCAUUUAACAUUUGCUCAGUUCAGCUGAAUUUAUGAUUGGCACUAGACUAGACUCUUAUAGAAUCAGUAUCUUGGAAUAUAAAUACAUCUUGGGGUACCUGGGUUGGUUCAGUGGGUUAAGUGUCUGACUCUUGAUCUUAGGGUCAUGAGUUCAAGCCCUGUAUUGGGAUCCAUGCUGGGUGUGGAGGCUACUUAAAAAACAAAACAAAAAAAACAUUUAUUUUAAGAUGUUAGGUUUAUAGCUCCAUCUUUGCUUUUACAUCUGUGGUAUGAUGUUGGUCCUCUAAAAUCUUUCAUGCCAUAUUCUUGGUUAGAAAUCCAUUUCCAGGGACGCCUGGGUGGUUCAGUGGUUAAGCAUCUGCCUUUGGCUCAGGGUGUGAUCCCAGAGUCCCAAGAUCGAGUCCCACAAUGGGCUCUCUGCAGAGCCUGCUUCUCCUUCUGCCAAUGUCUCUGUCUUUCUCUCUGUGUCUCUCAUGAAUAAAUAAAUAAAAUCUUUUAAAAAAUAAUAAUAAAAUCCAGGUUCUUUCUGGGAACAUUGGAAGUGAAAAAAAAUGGACUAUAUAACUUGCCUCUUGGUUUCAGUAUGCAGAUGUCUACAGGUGUAAGAUAACAGUCCCUCACACUGUUUUCUACAGUUUACAAAGCACUGCCAAUUACUUUAUCAGAGGCCCCAAAAGAACUAAGUGCCUUGUUCAAAGCUACACUGCUAUAAGCUCAAAUGCCAGAAUUAAAACCAGACCUCUCACUACAAGUCUGUUCUUGGUUUUUCCUAAAAGAUCUAUAAAGUUCCAACUGUCAUCUACAGACACAUUACGCAUGUCAUGCAAAAGCAAAUCAAUCAUUCCAACACAAAUUUCUCACAUUAUCAACCAGUAUCCCUACAAUAUUUUGUAGGAAAAUACCACUUGCCUUCUAUUUAUUCCUAUAGCUUAACACAGAGCUACCAACCAAAUGUCCUUCCCUCAAAAGAUCGUCUUCGGCCCACAGUGAGGUUAGGCCACCAACCUAUAUGAGCCAUAUGGAUGAGAGAAUAGUGUUCAAAGUGGAAACAAGACUGGAGGCUAGGGGUGCCUGGGUGGCUCAGUCAGCUAAGCAUCUGCCUUCGACUCAGGUCAUGAUCCCAGAGUCCAGGGAUCAAGCCCUGCAUUGGGCUCCUAGCUCAGCAGGGAGUCUGCUUCUCCCUCUCCCUCUGCUCUUUCCCCUGCUCAUCCUCUUUUCCCUCAAAUAAAAUCGUAAAAAAAAAAAAAAAAAAAAAAAAAAGAC
This 2951-nucleotide long non-coding RNA is filed under the name Canis lupus familiaris (dog). Its description in RNAcentral is "lncRNA (ENSCAFG00805022452.1, ENSCAFG00845005609.1)". The record is from RNAcentral. Lineage: Eukaryota; Metazoa; Chordata; Mammalia; Carnivora; Canidae.